ACGAUGGGCCGUGGACUGGCGGAGAGGAGUAGGUAGUGCUCAGCCUCAGCAACCUGGCGAGCUAGAGCCACCGUCACAGUGCGCUCACGUUCCCAAGCGAGAGCCACGGCGUGAACCCGCUCCUGAGCCGCCAGAGACUCAGUCUUCGCUACGAGGAGGGCAGCAGCCAGGGCGGCAUCCGCUGUGUUGGACUGUCCCUGUCCGGUCAUAGGAGCCAGACCGUUCGACCGGACCAUCUGGUCAGACAAAGAGGUUGAGCUGGACUGUCCGGCCCCUGAGCCCGGACCGUCUGGCAGCAUCAGGGCAAUCGUGGUGAGGUACUCUGGUGGCAUGCCCAGGCCGGCGUAGGGGGCAAGGGCGGAUGAGGGGAAGGGCGCGGCGACAGUGGUGACGACGUUGGUCGGAGCGGCCAGGAGGGAGGCGGCUAGGGCGGCACCCACGCCCGUGGCAUCUGC
This 455-nucleotide long non-coding RNA is filed under the name Oryza brachyantha (malo sina). RNAcentral describes it as "long non-coding RNA (OBRA_LNC003425)". The record is from RNAcentral. Lineage: Eukaryota; Viridiplantae; Streptophyta; Magnoliopsida; Poales; Poaceae.